This 499-nucleotide ribosomal RNA is filed under the name uncultured bacterium. Its description in RNAcentral is "partial 16S ribosomal RNA". It matches the Rfam family "Bacterial small subunit ribosomal RNA", at positions 28 to 507 of the family's 1533-position model. The record is from RNAcentral.
GACGAACGCUGGCGGCGUGCUUAACACAUGCAAGUCGAACGGGCCUGUCUUCUUUUUUGGGGGUGGGUUGAGCGGCGAACGGGUGAGUAUCACGUGAGUAACCUGCCCUUCGGUCCUGGAUAACCGCUUGAAAGGGCGGCUAAUACGGGGUGGUCCGGUUGGUCCGCAUGGGCUGGUCGGGAUAGAUUCACUGUUUUUGGUGUUUCGGCGGGGGAUGGGCUCGCGGCCUAGCAGCUUGUUGGUGGGGUGAUGGCCUACCAAGGCGGUGACGGGUAGCCGGCCUGAGAGGGUGGGCGGCCAGACUGGGACUGAGAUACGGCCCAGACUCCUGCGGGAGGCAGCAGUGGGGGGUAUUGCACAAUGGGCGGAAGCCUGAUGCAGCGACGUCGCGUGAGGGAUGGAGGCCUUCGGGUUGUGAACCUCUGUUUCCGGUGGUGAAGGCCCUGUCCGUGUGGUGGGGUUGACGGUAGCCGGGGAUGAAGCGCCGGCUAACUACGUG